This 293-nucleotide long non-coding RNA is filed under the name Prunus dulcis (almond). RNAcentral's name for it is "sRNA ncRNA". Lineage: Eukaryota; Viridiplantae; Streptophyta; Magnoliopsida; Rosales; Rosaceae. The record is from RNAcentral.
AUGUACAAUUUACCGGCCAGACUUAAACUUGUUGGAAAUGGGUUGAUCAUCAACAGUAAUAAUGGAGAAAGUGUGACAGGAGGCUUGUCCAACUAUAUAUUAAGCUUCAGAUGUGAAAUAUGUGGGUUUUAUGGUAGCAUAAUUACAUUAUACAUUGAGUCCAAGACUUGGCAACUCCUUGUUAGAACCCCUCAUUACAGUCUCUUUGUCUCUCACAGCACUUCCAGCGGUUCCAUUUGUCAUGGCAAAAGGCCACCUUGGCUGGCUAAACACGUCCAACCAAGCAAAUCCAG